This 386-nucleotide ribosomal RNA is filed under the name uncultured prokaryote. Its description in RNAcentral is "bacterial SSU rRNA". It matches the Rfam family "Archaeal small subunit ribosomal RNA", at positions 339 to 725 of the family's 1478-position model. The record is from RNAcentral.
GCGCGAAAACUUUACAAUGCUGGCAACAGCGAUAAGGGAACCUCGAGUGCCAGGUUACAAAUCUGGCUGUCGAGAUGCCUAAAAAGCAUUUCAUAGCAAGGGCCGGGCAAGACCGGUGCCAGCCGCCGCGGUAACACCAGCGGCUCGAGUGGUAACCGUUAUUAUUGGGUCUAAAGGGUCUGUAGCUGGCCGGAUAAGUCUCUUGAGAAAUCUGGCAGCUUAACUGUCAGGCUUUCAGGAGAUACUGUCUGGCUCGAGGCCGGGAGAGGUGAGAGGUACUUCAGGGGUAGGGGUGAAAUCUUGUAAUCCUUGAAGGACCACCAGUGGCGAAGGCGUCUCACCAGAACGGACCUGACGGCAAGGGACGAAAGCUAGGGGCACGAACC